This 504-nucleotide ribosomal RNA is filed under the name uncultured bacterium. RNAcentral's name for it is "partial 16S ribosomal RNA". It matches the Rfam family "Bacterial small subunit ribosomal RNA", at positions 29 to 523 of the family's 1533-position model. The record is from RNAcentral.
AUUGAACGCUGGCGGCAGGCCUAACACAUGCAAGUCGAACGGUAGCACAGAGAGCUUGCUCUCGGGUGACGAGUGGCGGACGGGUGAGUAACGUCUGGGAAACUGCCCGAUGGAGGGGGAUAACUACUGGAAACGGUAGCUAAUACCGCAUAACGUCGCAAGACCAAAGUGGGGGACCUUCGGGCCUCACACCAUCGGAUGUGCCCAGAUGGGAUUAGCUAGUAGGUGGGGUAAUGGCUCACCUAGGCGACGAACCCUAGCUGGUCUGAGAGGAUGACCAGCCACACUGGAACUGAGCCACGGUCCAGACUCCUACGGGAGGCAGCAGUGGGGGAUAUUGCCCAAGGGGCGCAAGCCUGAUGCAGCCAUGCCGCGUGUACGAAGAAGGCCUUCGGGUUGUAAAGUACUUUCAGCGGGGAGGAAGGCGGUGAAGUUAAUAACUUCACCGAUUGACGUUACCCGCAGAAGAAGCACCGGCUAACUCCGUGCCAGCAGCCGCCGUAA